AGAGUUUGAUCCUGGCUCAGGAUGAACGCCGGCGGUGUGCCUAAUACAUGCAAGUCGUACGCACUGGCCCAACUGAUUGAUGGUGCUUGCACCUGAUUGACGAUGGAUCACCAGUGAGUGGCGGACGGGUGAGUAACACGUAGGUAACCUGCCCCGGAGCGGGGGAUAACAUUUGGAAACAGAUGCUAAUACCGCAUAACAACAAAAGCCACAUGGCUUUUGUUUGAAAGAUGGCUUUGGCUAUCACUCUGGGAUGGACCUGCGGUGCAUUAGCUAGUUGGUAAGGUAACGGCUUACCAAGGCGAUGAUGCAUAGCCGAGUUGAGAGACUGAUCGGCCACAAUGGAACUGAGACACGGUCCAUACUCCUACGGGAGGCAGCAGUAGGGAAUCUUCCACAAUGGGCGCAAGCCUGAUGGAGCAACACCGCGUGAGUGAAGAAGGGUUUCGGCUCGUAAAGCUCUGUUGUUGGAGAAGAACGUGCGUGAGAGUAACUGUUCACGCAGUGACGUAUCCACC
This 518-nucleotide ribosomal RNA is filed under the name Limosilactobacillus reuteri. RNAcentral's name for it is "bacterial SSU rRNA". It matches the Rfam family "Bacterial small subunit ribosomal RNA", at positions 8 to 483 of the family's 1533-position model. Lineage: Bacteria; Bacillati; Bacillota; Bacilli; Lactobacillales; Lactobacillaceae. The record is from RNAcentral.